AGUAAAGUCAGCUAAUUAAGCUUUUGGGCCCAUACCCCAAAUAUGAUGGUUAAAAUCCCUCCCUUACUA
This 69-nucleotide transfer RNA is filed under the name Umbra pygmaea (eastern mudminnow). Its description in RNAcentral is "tRNA-Met". It matches the Rfam family "tRNA". Rfam says of the family: Transfer RNA (tRNA) molecules are approximately 80 nucleotides in length. Lineage: Eukaryota; Metazoa; Chordata; Actinopteri; Esociformes; Umbridae. The record is from RNAcentral. RNAcentral also lists the same sequence under 1 other name.